RNA transcript from Lycium barbarum (goji berry), 1502 nucleotides. It is a transcript of the gene named B3 domain-containing protein REM5-like, with no coding region annotated. The transcript has 7 exons. The record is from RefSeq and is a predicted model, not a curated record. NCBI's taxonomy places the organism in Eukaryota, Viridiplantae, Streptophyta, Magnoliopsida, Solanales, Solanaceae.
AGAUCACUUUGCCUCCACAACACCUGCAAUUUUUUGGCUACCAAUGAAAAUUCCACCAAAGAAACCUCAUUUUUUCAAACCAAUUCAGCCAGGUUUCAAGAAUGGUCUUAAAAUUCCUAUAGGUUUCUUGAAGUAUCUGAAGGGACACGACCAUUUUAAACAUGCAAUACUGAAAAAGGCUGGUAAGAAAUGGCUUGUGAAGGUGAAUGGCCAUCAAUUCAAAGCGGGUUGGGCUGAAUUUGUACAACAACAUGAUUUGCAGUUGGGAAAUAUAUUGGUGUUUAGACAUGAAGGAAACAUGGAAUUUGAGGUUUCCAUCUUUGAUUCAAGUCAUUAUGACAGAGAAUAUGCUGAGUAUAUGCAAGAAGAAGAAGAAGAAGAAACCAAUAAUGUUCAAGAGACUUCCCAUAAAUUUGCAUUCAAAGAAAAACCAAGCCCCAACAUCAAGUUGUCAAAGAAGGCUUCUUCCCAUGUAGAAGCUGCUACUCAUAACAAGUCUUUUGGUCAUUCUCGGUUUGAAUACACUAUUACAGAAUAUUGCCUUUCGAGUUAUCGCUUGUUCCUUCCUCAACAAUUCACAUAUGCAAAUGGUCUCACCAAUAAGAAGUGUGGUUUGAUUAUAAGAGAUGAAAGUCAAAGGUCAUGGAAUUUAAAGCUAGUUUGUUGGGAAACUCGAGCCUAUAUUGGAGGUGGAUGGCUCAAAUUCAUUGCUGAUAAUUGCUUAAAGGAGGGAGAUCGUAUUAUGUUUGAGGUUGUUACUGAUGGAGAGACACCAAUAUGGAGACGUUACUAAUAGAAAAAGUCCAUUGCAAAAGUUUCAAGACAUUAUGAGAAAGCCCUCAAACACGAGUCUUCUCAAUGCACAAGUAGCUACUUCAAAUACUGGUGAUGAUGAUCAUCCUUAUUUCAUUUCAACUAUUCAACCUUAUUGCUUCAGAAAGAAAAUUUUGUAUCUUCCACUGGAUUUUGCAAAGUCAAAUGGGUUGAUGAAUAGAAAGUGUGAGAUGAUUCUGAAAGAUGAAGCACAGAGAUGUUGGUCAGUGUGGCUUGGGAGACUCGAUUCACAUCAUUUUGGAAUUAUAAGUGGAUGGAAAAAAUUCCGCAAAGCAAAUGGACUCCAAGUAGGAGAUUCUUACAAGUUUGAACUCAUCAAGAAUGGGGAAAUACCUAUAGCACAUUUCCAUUGCAAAUAUUCUAGAAAGGUUGCAAAGAGAGAGGAACGUAGAAGCAAGUUGACUAAAAAGAAAACUGGUUGAUCCAAUGUAUGGUGUAUGACCUCAAAAACUAUGCAUGAUGUUUCUGUAAAUCCCCAUGUAAAGUAAGUAAAUGUCUGAGACUAGGAAGAAAUGACUGACUAGCCGGCUUUUGUCCAAGCCUGAUGACUCAGGAUGGCUUGGUUGUGGUUGUAUAAACUAUGUGGAUCAUUUGCACCAUAUGGCCUUUUCUGGGGCCAUUCUUUAAGUGUUGUCUCCAUUUGUCCAAUGUGCUAAAAUUUGUCUCUA